AAAGGUCUCUUAAUACUUAAACCUAUUAAAGAUACUCGAGUGGCGAACGGGUGAGUAACACGUGGGUAAUCUACCCUGCACUUCAGGGAUAAGCCUGGGAAACCGGGUCUAAUACCGGAUAGGACUUCAAGGCGCAUGUCUUGUGGUGGAAAGCUUUUGCGGUGCGGGAUGGGCCCGCGGCCUAUCAGCUUGUUGGUGGGGUGACGGCCUACCAAGGCGACGACGGGUAGCCGGCCUGAGAGGGUGUCCGGCCACACUGGGACUGAGAUACGGCCCAGACUCCUACGGGAGGCAGCAGUGGGGAAUAUUGCACAAUGGGCGCAAGCCUGAUGCAGCGACGCCGCGUGGGGGAUGACGGCUUUCGGGUUGUAAACCUCUUUCACCAUUGACGAAGAUCUGGGUUUUCUCGG
RNAcentral lists this ribosomal RNA (410 nucleotides) under Mycobacterium lepromatosis. Its description in RNAcentral is "bacterial SSU rRNA". It matches the Rfam family "Bacterial small subunit ribosomal RNA", at positions 70 to 467 of the family's 1533-position model. The record is from RNAcentral. Lineage: Bacteria; Bacillati; Actinomycetota; Actinomycetes; Mycobacteriales; Mycobacteriaceae.